This 234-nucleotide ribosomal RNA is filed under the name uncultured bacterium. RNAcentral's name for it is "partial 16S ribosomal RNA". It matches the Rfam family "Bacterial small subunit ribosomal RNA", at positions 118 to 347 of the family's 1533-position model. The record is from RNAcentral.
UGAGCAACCUGCCCUUGACUCUGGAAUAACAGUUGGAAACAGCUGCUAAUACCGGAUACGACCUCCGACGGCAUCAUCUGGAGGUGGAAAGCUCCGACGGUCAAGGAUGGGCUCGCGGCCUAUCAGCUUGUUGGUGAGGUAACGGCUCACCAAGGCUUCGGACGGGUAGCCGGCCUGAGAGGGCGACCGGCCACACUGGGACUGAGACACGGCCCAGACCUCCGUACGGGAGCA